RNAcentral lists this transfer RNA (90 nucleotides) under Chitinivibrionales bacterium. Its description in RNAcentral is "tRNA-Ser". It matches the Rfam family "tRNA". From Rfam's summary of the family: Transfer RNA (tRNA) molecules are approximately 80 nucleotides in length. Their secondary structure includes four short double-helical elements and three loops (D, anti-codon, and T loops). The record is from RNAcentral. Lineage: Bacteria; Pseudomonadati; Fibrobacterota; Chitinivibrionia; Chitinivibrionales.
GGAGGGGUGGCCGAGAGGCUUAAGGUACCGGUUUGCUAAACCGGCGUAGGGGCAACUCUACCGAGGGUUCGAAUCCCUCCCCCUCCGCCA